GACGAACCGUGCGAACGUUGUUCGGAAUCACUGGGCUUAAAGGGCGCGUAGGCGGUCUGCCAAGUCCGGGGUGAAAGCCCCCAGCUCAACUGGGGAAGUGCCUUGGAUACUGGUGGACUCGAGCGAGGUAGGGGUUGUGGGAACUUCCGGUGGAGCGGUGAAAUGCGUUGAUAUCGGAAGGAACGCCGGUGGCGAAAGCGCACAACUGGACCUCUUCUGACGCUGAGGCGCGAAAGCCAGGGGAGCAAACGGG
RNAcentral lists this ribosomal RNA (253 nucleotides) under uncultured bacterium. Its description in RNAcentral is "partial 16S ribosomal RNA". It matches the Rfam family "Bacterial small subunit ribosomal RNA", at positions 524 to 776 of the family's 1533-position model. The record is from RNAcentral.